Molecule: ribosomal RNA, 548 nt
Filed under: Escherichia coli
Lineage: Bacteria; Pseudomonadati; Pseudomonadota; Gammaproteobacteria; Enterobacterales; Enterobacteriaceae
Description: bacterial SSU rRNA
Rfam family: Bacterial small subunit ribosomal RNA
Source: RNAcentral
CCAGAUGGGGAUUAGGCUAGGUAGGUGGGGGGUAACGGGCUCACCUAGGGCGACGAUCCCCUAGGCUGGUCUGAGAGGGAUGACCAGCCACACUGGAACUGAGACACGGUCCAGACUCCUACGGGGAGGCAGCAGUGGGGGAAUAUUGCACAAUGGGCGCAAGCCUGAUGCAGCCAUGCCGCGUGUAUGAAGAAGGCCUUCGGGUUGUAAAGUACUUUCAGCGGGGAGGAAGGGAGUAAAGUUAAUACCUUUGCUCAUUGACGUUACCCGCAGAAGAAGCACCGGCUAACUCCGUGCCAGCAGCCGCGGUAAUACGGAGGGUGCAAGCGUUAAUCGGAAUUACUGGGCGUAAAGCGCACGCAGGCGGUUUGUUAAGUCAGAUGUGAAAUCCCCGGGCUCAACCUGGGAACUGCAUCUGAUACUGGCAAGCUUGAGUCUCGUAGAGGGGGGUAGAAUUCCAGGUGUAGCGGUGAAAUGGCGUAGAGAUCUGGAGGAAUACCGGUGGCGAAGGCGGCCCCCUGGACGAAGACUGACGCUCAGGUGCGAAA